RNAcentral lists this ribosomal RNA (425 nucleotides) under uncultured bacterium. RNAcentral's name for it is "partial 16S ribosomal RNA". It matches the Rfam family "Bacterial small subunit ribosomal RNA", at positions 354 to 796 of the family's 1533-position model. The record is from RNAcentral.
GUGGGGAAUAUUGGACAAUGGGCGCAAGCCUGAUCCAGCCAUGCCGCGUGAAUGAUGAAGGCCUUAGGGUUGUAAAGCUCUUUUGUCCGGGAAGAUAAUGACUGUACCGGAAGAAUAAGCCCCGGCUAACUUCGUGCCAGCAGCCGCGGUAAUACGAAGGGGGCUAGCGUUGUUCGGAAUCACUGGGCGUAAAGCGCACGUAGGCGGCCCAUUAAGUCAGGGAUGAAAGCAUGGAGCUCAACUCCAGAACUGCCUUUGAUACUGUUGGUCUCGAGUUCGGAAGAGGUGGGUGGAACGGCGAGUGUAGAGGUGAAAUUCGUAGAUAUUCGCAAGAACACCAGUGGCGAAGGCGGCCAACUGGUCCGAUACUGACGCUGAGGUGCGAAAGCGUGGGGAGCAAACAGGAUUAGAUACCCUAGUAGUCC